AAUGCACAAACCCACAGAUAUCACUCCUUCCACCCACAGGGUCUGUUGGGACUGGGGGUGAUAGAUGUGCUGUGCUGGUGACAGACCACCCCCUACCAUCCCACAUCUGCCCUGGGAGAAGGAACUGUGCUCUGCAGCUGCUGCAAGCUGUAAUGCUGAGAGAUACUCAAAAUAUGCCAGACACCAAGCUUGUACCUAGCUUUCUCCAGCUUCUCAAACCCUUCAUAGCUCAUCACUCCUGAGGAUCAUCUCACUGGUUUUCCACUCAUCUCUCUUUCCUGCACAGAAAGCAAAGUGUCUUUUUCCAGCAGAUAUCUGCUACAAUCAGGAGCCAGCUUUGUGUAGCUACCAUGCCCAAAGGCAGACUCUUGUCAGUCAGUCUCAGAAGUCUCUUUGAAAGUUGGUUUAUUGGCUGCCUAUGAGAAGAUUGAGGAAUGCAACUUGUACUACUGUGUUUCCCAAAUACGUGCAACAAAUUCAUAUACAUGUAGCACACCUUUAUUUGGAAAUGAAGAAUAUUGCAUUUUUCCCAGAUGCUGAGGGCUUCCUCCCCUAUUUUAGUGCAACCAAGGAUGUGCGUACGUAUGUUGAGACGUGGCGAGGAUUGUGAGAUCUCCCGCACUUCACAGAACAAGCCAAGGGAUGCCUGAUAGCUACAGAUGGUCUGAGAGCAGCUUUACACCUUGUACAGCAGCACUGGGUCCUGAUGCCAUACUGACAGACAUUCCACUGUCUCUGACUGCAGUAUCAUGGGCUGAAUUCCCAACAUAAUUUACAGCAGCAUCAGAGACAUUCAUGGAAUAGUUUGAUCCAGCAGACACCAAUUAUAUCAGGCAUCUGAGCACCUUGUGAGAUCUUGAUGGAGUCAUGGAGAAAGUGCAGUGGAAUUUGCUUUAUUCUUUUUAUUAUUCUGUCCAUACUGGAGGAAAUGGAUAUUCACCCUAUUCACCUCCUGAGUGGAGAGCAGAAAAGAAAGAGGGAAGGCAACUCCACCAAGCAGUGGCUUAAUCCACAAAGGCUGCAGCCUCAAAUGAAGGAUUCACCGUGCACAACUGGAUCAUUUCGCUGUGUGGAUAUUAUUGCUACGGCCAAAGCCUCAUCCAGUCUGCAGUAGCCCCUGGAAAUACUGAAAAAGUAAAGCAAGGUGAUCUUCUUACCAAUAAAUAAAUAAAUAAAUAAAAUGCCA
Molecule: long non-coding RNA, 1186 nt
Filed under: Cyanistes caeruleus (blue tit)
Lineage: Eukaryota; Metazoa; Chordata; Aves; Passeriformes; Paridae
Description: lncRNA (ENSCCEG00000010451.1)
Source: RNAcentral